CUCACACUAAUGAUUGGUUUUAAAGUAAUUGUAAGGCCAAUGCUUUCCAAAUAGUAUCUUCAAGUAAAAUGUUCUCUGAAAUAAAGACUAUGGAAAUUGAAAGACCUAAUAUAGCAUUUGAGCCCUGGUCUGCAAGCAAUAGCAUUUGAGCAUCAGGUCUGCUGGACAUCGAUUUUUCUCUAAUUUCCUCAUUUGAAAACACCAGUAUGAAAUGCCAAACAGAAGCAAUUUGCUGAAGUUCAAACAAAUUAAGGAAGUGAUAGCCUGUACCGUGAUUGAUCUCUUUUUAAAUAGGUACACAACAUAGCCAUCAUGACCUGAUUAUAACACCAAUAACAUAGAGAUUUAAUGACAUGAGUAAAUAGAGGGACAAUAAAAUUAUUUGUCAGACUAGAAAGGGGAUCAGUCCAAUCGUGAAGGGUGUUGUUGACAUCACAGCGCGUCGGUUCUGUGAAGGGGGUCAAUAACAUCCAAGGCUACAUAAGGCUACCAAACAGAAGGACACUACAUUCUCCCUGAGUCAUCUGCUUCACGCUGCUCCAGACCAGGGAUAACAUCAUGGCUUUCCUGGUCAGCUUGGGACAGACACUACUGCUGACAACCAUUCUCUUCCACCAUACAGCAUCCUUUCCUCAGUGGGACGGUAACCAGGCGGACCUGGAGGAGAUCAUCAGGAGUGAGAUCAGUCGUUCAAACAGUCAGUCCUUGUUUGCCAGGAACUAUGUGAACGCCCUGGUUGAGGCCAGACUGCGUGAUUCUCGGAGGUCAAAUCCCCAGACGAGGCAGCUGGGGGACAUUGAGUUCUCCAACAGGUAUGCGGAGUCCUUGAGGUCCAAAGCCAAACACACCUCAAUCUGCACCUUUCUCCGACGCAUGCAGAAUGUUUCGAAAAGCGGGUCAGGAGGAGAUGCGGAGAAGGUCAACCUGCUUCUGAAACAGUACAUGUGUCCCACUUCCUACCACUGGGUGGACUGAGUCAGAACUGGAGCACAGAAGGGCCAGAUUUUACUGGCCAUUUCAGAUAUUGUUUUAUGAAUGAUGUUUGAUUAAUAACGGAAAGUUUGUUAUUUGUAUGUCUCGGAUUAUAGUGUGCUUUGUGAUUAUUCAUUAUGUGGAUUACCACAAACCUUCUUUAUUCUUUACAAAAAGUUAAGCAUUUACAAGCAUUACAAGUAAUAAGAAUUGAUAACAUUUGUUUUACUUUUUUAGAGCAUUCACUAAUUCAUGAAAGUUAUUAUAUAAAAUAUCUGACUGUCAUGGAUGUUUCUUUAUAUGUUUCUGAUAAUAAUGUUAAAAUAUGAUGUUCCUG
Long non-coding RNA from Esox lucius (northern pike), 1309 nucleotides. Lineage: Eukaryota; Metazoa; Chordata; Actinopteri; Esociformes; Esocidae. The record is from Ensembl.